Molecule: ribosomal RNA, 424 nt
Filed under: uncultured Geothrix sp.
Lineage: Bacteria; Pseudomonadati; Acidobacteriota; Holophagae; Holophagales; Holophagaceae
Description: bacterial SSU rRNA
Rfam family: Bacterial small subunit ribosomal RNA
Source: RNAcentral
GGAAUUUUGCGCAAUGGACGAAAGUCUGACGCAGCAACGCCGCGUGGGUGAUGAAGGUCUUCGGACUGUAAAACCCUGUCGUCAGGGACGAAGGUGGCUCGGUUAAUAACCGGGUUACUUGACGGUACCUGGAGAGGAAGCCCCGGCUAACUCUGUGCCAGCAGCCGCGGUAAUACAGAGGGGGCAAGCGUUAUUCGGAAUUAUUGGGCGUAAAGGGCGCGUAGGCGGUUUUUUAAGUCGGAUGUGCAAUCCCCGAGCUCAACUUGGGAACUGCAUCCGAGACUGGGAGACUAGAGUACUGGAGAGGUUGGUGGAAUUCCACGUGUAGCGGUGAAAUGCGUAGAGAUGUGGAGGAACACCAGUGGCGAAGGCGGCCAACUGGACAGUAACUGACGCUGAGGCGCGAAAGUGUGGGGAGCAAACA